This 329-nucleotide unclassified non-coding RNA is filed under the name Hevea brasiliensis (rubber tree). The record is from RNAcentral. Lineage: Eukaryota; Viridiplantae; Streptophyta; Magnoliopsida; Malpighiales; Euphorbiaceae.
AAACAAUUUAUUUUAUUCUUAAAUUUGUGCAGAGUAUUUUAGGGUGUUCUUCCUUUUGGAAAAUUUUCAAGAAAUUUUUCUAUUAAACUAAAGAACUUUUAGGAAAUGUGUUUGGGAGUUGAGAAAAGCAAACAGUUUUCAGAAAAGCAGAUUUUCCAUAUAGAGGCUUUUCCUGGUUGUCUCUUGAAAUUGAACAGAGAGGUGGAAAACCUAUCUGUUUUCAACUUAAAGAAAAAGUUUCUAUUUUCAUCAGGUACACAUUUUGUGCAUUUUCUCAUGGAUAAUUGUAUUAUAAAAUGAGAUGAAAAUUAGAAGACAAAUUGAAGCUA